UGAGUUUAUCGUCUAAUGGAUUAGGACCAAGAUUUUCUAAGUCUAAAAUGUAGGUUCAAUUCCUGCUAAGCUCAU
RNAcentral lists this transfer RNA (75 nucleotides) under Pterocladiophila hemisphaerica. Its description in RNAcentral is "tRNA-Arg". It matches the Rfam family "tRNA". From Rfam's summary of the family: Transfer RNA (tRNA) molecules are approximately 80 nucleotides in length. Their secondary structure includes four short double-helical elements and three loops (D, anti-codon, and T loops). The record is from RNAcentral. Lineage: Eukaryota; Rhodophyta; Florideophyceae; Gracilariales; Pterocladiophilaceae.